This 756-nucleotide ribosomal RNA is filed under the name uncultured Actinomycetaceae bacterium. Its description in RNAcentral is "bacterial SSU rRNA". It matches the Rfam family "Bacterial small subunit ribosomal RNA", at positions 28 to 776 of the family's 1533-position model. Lineage: Bacteria; Bacillati; Actinomycetota; Actinomycetes; Actinomycetales; Actinomycetaceae. The record is from RNAcentral.
GACGAACGCGGCGUCGGGCCUAACACAUGCAAGUCGAACGGGCUCUGUCUGGCUGUGUGCUGGGUGGGGUUAGUGGCGAACGGGUGAGUAAUACGUGAGUAACCUGCCCUCUUCUUUGGGAUAAGCCUUGAAAACGGGGUCUAAAUACUGGAUAUUCCUGUCUGGUCGCAUGGCUGGGUGGGGAAAGUUUUUUUCGGUGGGGGAUGGGCUCGCGGCCUAUCAGCUUGUUGGUGGGGUGAUGGCCUACCAAGGCGUCGACGGGUAGCCGGCCUGAGAGGGUGACCGGCCACACUGGGACUGAGAUACAGCCCAGACUCCUACGGGAGGCAGCAGUGGGGGAUAUUGCACAAUGGGCGCAAGCCUGAUGCAGCGACGCCGCGUGGGGGAUGACGGCUUUCGGGUUGUAAACCUCUUUCGUCGGGGGACAAGGCUCUGCUUGGUGGUGGGGUUGAGGGUACCCGGUGAAGAAGCGCCGGCUAACUACGUGCCAGCAGCCGCGGUAAUACGUAGGGCGCGAGCGUUGUCCGGAAUUAUUGGGCGUAAAGGGCUUGUAGGCGGUUGGUCGCGUCUGCCGUGAAAUCCUCUGGCUUAACUGGGGGCGUGCGGUGGGUACGGGCUGACUUGAGUGCGGUAGGGGAGACUGGAACUCCUGGUGUAGCGGUGGAAUGCGCAGAUAUCAGGAGGAACACCGGUGGCGAAGGCGGGUCUCUGGGCCGUUACUGACGCUGAGGAGCGAAAGCGUGGGGAGCGAACAGG